GGUGGGCCAGUGCUCCAAUAACACCAGCUGCUAAGUAAUAGUCAGACCAGAACUUUUAUUUUGCUUAAUAGUUUCACUUAUGUCUAAUUGCACCUCACCUGUAUCUGAUCAAUUAGCUAGCAGGCUUUUAAAAAAAAGGGAUCAGCAUGCUGCAGAGUGAGGAGGAAAAGCCAGAGGAAUGGUGUCUUGCAGUUAUACUUUUUGUAAAUUGGCAAGUGGGAAAGCCACCCAAUUCCAGGUAGGGAUUUGCUGUGUAUAGUAAGUGCUCAAGCAAGAGCAAGGAAUUUUGCUUUGUUUAUUUU
Pelobates cultripes (western spadefoot toad) is the source of this 302-nucleotide non-coding RNA. The record is from the annotation of a GenBank genome assembly. NCBI's taxonomy places the organism in Eukaryota, Metazoa, Chordata, Amphibia, Anura, Pelobatidae.